Onychomys torridus (southern grasshopper mouse) is the source of this 410-nucleotide long non-coding RNA. RefSeq lists it as uncharacterized. The transcript has 3 exons. Lineage: Eukaryota; Metazoa; Chordata; Mammalia; Rodentia; Cricetidae. The record is from RefSeq and is a predicted model, not a curated record.
GCGCUCCGGCGCAGGUUCCCGGGAAGUUAUCACGUGCUGGGGGCGAGCGGCGCCGGAGAGCUGGGACACGGCGCGCCUCCGCGGGCUGGACCCGGCUGUCGCCUCGGAGGGACUCCACCCGGGGACGCUACACUUUAGGAGAAAAUGCGGAGAACUGAUUUCGGAGAAGGCAAAGUUCAGUAAUUCAUCCCGCUUCGGUGAUUGCUUCAGUUCAAGGGACUUAACAGGAUGGUUAAAGUCAGAAGCACAGUAUUGGGAAAGAAGUUUGCCUCAGAUGCCUUAGACUAAUGGGCUCCUAUAAAUCCUGCUGUUGAAAAAGGAAUUUAUACAAAGAACAGAGAUUCAAACUAGUCUGGGUGAUGCCAACGUUGAUUCAUCAAAAGAGACCAGAAGAGGGCAUUGAAUUCCCU